Molecule: long non-coding RNA, 208 nt
Organism: Zophobas morio
Lineage: Eukaryota; Metazoa; Arthropoda; Insecta; Coleoptera; Tenebrionidae
Exons: 3
Source: RefSeq, a predicted model, not a curated record
AAUGAAUAAGGCUUAGUGGUGACAACACAACAGAUUUAAAACGCAAAAGUUCAAGAAAGACGCAUAACCCUAUUAUCCGACUCGAGAAGCCGAAACUAAUCAGAAAGGUGGAGAAGUAAACAAAAUAUCUCAAAAAAUAGGAUAACUAUGCCACGCAGCAUUGGUUAUAAAUAACUGGCCAAAUAUUGUUGCUUUUAUUCAAAUACUG